This is a long non-coding RNA of Astatotilapia calliptera (eastern happy), 1375 nucleotides long. NCBI's taxonomy places the organism in Eukaryota, Metazoa, Chordata, Actinopteri, Cichliformes, Cichlidae. The record is from Ensembl.
CUUCAAACACAUCCAUCCCGUGUUCACAUUUUACGGUUUCCUCGUCUUUCAUAUCCCCCCCUCGUGCAAUCCCUCAGUGUGACUGACUGCGUGCCCCCACCCUGUGUGUAAACUGUCGUAUCAUGGUGUUUUCGAAUGCCACUGCACGCACCGGCAAACCUGCCCGUGUCUAAAACGCACCACUCUCCACGCUCUGUUAGCUCCCAGCCCAGCACGUAAUUCCCAUAAUUCUGCUUGCUGCAACAGAAUCAUGGGAGGCAUUAGGAAGCAGCGAGACCCAAAAAAACAUGAAGAAGGGAAAAAAAAAAACCCCAGCUCUGGAGAGCGGCGGCAAUGCAUCGGUGACCUUUGUUGAGAGCUGCAGAGGAACUACACUUCCUAUUGUCUGACCUAUGACCUCUCACCCCGUGGCAGUAUGGGUCAUAUUUUCCACAUGCCGAGCUCGGGGACCUGUCUCGGCAUCCAGGAGGGGAACGAGGAAUGUUGGGAGUAGCUGGCAGCAGAUGCUCUGUUGUUUUGGAAAAAAAAAAAGAAAAAAGUAAGGCUUAUGCUGGGCUGGGGACAUCAAUAUGCCCUCUACCGCUCUAUGUGAGGCAACCUCCAGCACAACACCAGGCUGGUAAAAUGGAGGACAAACUGGGCGGCCCAAAAAAACGAAAUAAGAGACAGAACCUGUUGAUGGGACCGGAGAUGUUUACCAUCGCCUACAUCCGACAUUUAAACUCACCAGAACACUUCCUCUAAUGUUGUUGGCGAGUUCACAUGCAGGAGGUGGGGGACCGGCCCACCAUGUUUAAGAGACCCCCUCAAAACAAACCUUGCAUCGCGUGUUUGACGCCUUUUCCCGACCGGUGCGGGCUGACCGCCACCGCUCGCUCCCUCUCCCCUCGAGUCCCUGACCUGCAGUGACUCGCCGAGACGCGAGAUAAAUUAAAAGUUUCAUCACAAUCUCAGAACGAGUCAUCGCUCUUGAAAAAGAACUGCGUGGUGCGCCAGCGACAGAGGAUGAGGGAGACGAGGGACGAGGCCUGUUACUGGCACACGCACACGCACAGAUCCAGCGCGCACACACACACACAUACACACACAUAUAAAUACCCUACCAUAAACACACACUGCAUAAGCGCACACACCCACCACAGGACUCACGCCCCAGCACGCGCACAGUAAAAUAAAAACCUUUUCCUCCUUCUUCACGCGCGGAGCAAUCACCGCCACAGCAGCAGAGUGAAGCGGAAAAACAAGCAGGAAAACAACAGAUUUCAGCCUCUCUUCCUCUUAUUCUCUCUGUCUGUCUCUCAGCAAGGCAAGCAUACAAGAGAACGUACCUCGGAAAACCUCCUGCUGCAUCUCUGCUGCGAUGUGUUCUUUCCCC